UACGUAGGGUGCGAGCGUUAAUCGGAAUUACUGGGCGUAAAGCGUGCGCAGGCGGUGAUGUAAGGCAGUUGUGAAAUCCCCGGGCUCAACCUGGGAACUGCAUCUGGGACUGCAUCGCUGGAGUGCGGCAGAGGGGGAUGGAAUUCCGCGUGUAGCAGUGAAAUGCGUAGAUAUGCGGAGGAACACCGAUGGCGAAGGCAAUCCCCUGGGCCUGCACUGACGCUCAUGCACGAAAGCGUGGGGAGCAAACAGG
This 253-nucleotide ribosomal RNA is filed under the name uncultured bacterium. RNAcentral's name for it is "partial 16S ribosomal RNA". It matches the Rfam family "Bacterial small subunit ribosomal RNA", at positions 524 to 776 of the family's 1533-position model. The record is from RNAcentral.